This is a long non-coding RNA of Equus asinus (donkey), 3326 nucleotides long. Lineage: Eukaryota; Metazoa; Chordata; Mammalia; Perissodactyla; Equidae. The record is from Ensembl.
GAGACCUCUGGAGGUCUAGACGAGUGUUGAAGGGCUAGCAGGACUUUGCUACAGCAAUAAGGACAUCAGGAGCUUGAUUAAUAUUCCCAUUCUGCAGACGAGAUUACUGGAUAUCAACAAAUAAGCAAAAUGCUAUGGAAAGAGCUGACCAAGAGCUUUUGGGGGUGGUAGGAACAGCAUAUGCUUCUGAGGGAAGGAAUUCACAGUGGUUUGGCGAGUGGAGCAAAGGAAAGAGGACCGAUAAGGUGGGCAAGCCCAUGCCACAUCUCCCUUCAGAUUGCCAGAGCAGCAGCUGCACAUAUUUGCCCCUUACCAGAUGGAGUGAAUGGACCCUAAGGGCCAAAGGGAGAGAUAAAGGGAAGGCCCUAGGACCAACAGAGAGAAACACAGGAAAGCUUAAUUCCUUUUUCCCAAUUCCUUUUUCCUUUUUCUAAUCAGUUUUCCACUUUCUUUCCUGGGAAGUUUGCAAAGUCCAUCAAAAACCUCAGGCUGGGAAAAAAAAGAAACCAACAUCCCUUCAUCCUGGAAUGCUCCUCAUGCACCUUAGUAAAUCCUCCCGGGCUGUGGGAGGCCGUCACAGAGCUACCGCCGGUGCCGCCACUCACUGCUCAGGCCGCACAGCCCUGAGCCCCCCCAUUCCUGUUGCCCUCUGCGUUGGUGGUAGAGUAUUCGUGUCCACUUCUCCCCACUCCUCCUCGUCCAUCAGUUCCGUGGGCAGGGCUCCACCUUCGGGAUCUCAGCUCUUCCCGCAGUCAGUCAUUCUGUUCCUUUACAGCAGUAGCUGCUAAACUUCAGUGUGAGAGGAGCCAAAUGCGGAUCCCUGGGCCCCAAGUCUGGAAAGCCUCACUUAGUGUAUGGGACAAAUGGCUAAUUUCCCCGGGUGAGUCAGGUAUGGGAAACACUAGCUCCAAAGCUUUUCCAGGGCAAGGACCAAACUGCUGUGACUCACUCACUCCCGCCCCCUCACCAGGUCUACAGCUGUCGAACACUGAGAGCUUGCGGCUUGUCAGGCUGGCAGCACCUUAAUCUCAAAAGUAUCAUCAACCCUCUUAUUAAACCAUUCCCAGUGUGCCCCAAAAGGACCAAAGAACCCUCUUUCUCCUGCUCCCACUUUAAUUCAGCUCCGUUCAGCAAAGAGGGCCCCGUGUGUAGUCGUGCAGGGAGCUGACUGUCCUGCCCUCCACUUGCUUGUGGUCAGGUCAGAGAAAGAAGCCUAGAGUGUAGCGCAGAACCUGAUGGGGCUUGUAAUUAGAAACAGUUAGGGAAGUGAAGGAGGAGCCCUGAAAUCCAUGCAGAUUUCUUGAAGGAAGUGGUAUUUGAUCUAAGCUUGGAAGACGGAGUUGGAAAAGGAGGGGAGAAGGGAGCCACAGGCCAAGGGUUCAGUAUGAUCAAUGGCUUAGAGGUAGAAAAUCCUUGGCCUGUUUAGGAACUGGCAGAGCAGGAGGAUAGAGUGUCCCCUGGUGAUGAUCCUGGGCCCAGCUGAGUCCCAGGGAGAUAGAGUAAGAACUGUGUUAGAGCAAUCUUACGGUCUGGCCCACUCAGCCACCUCUCCCAGGUGGCACCCAGGGGAACAGCGGAACUUCCUUCUGAGCUAUGCAAGGCCUCUUUCUUGAGCCCUCUGGCUGAGCAGAGGUCACUGCCACCUGCUUUUGUGUCUGCAUUAUGCCUACGGUCACUCCAAGAGUGAGCAUAUCGGGCUCCCUCUGGGUCCCACACCUCUGCUCUGCUUUUGUCACAGUCUUGUAGCAAUUUGUCCUCUUGCCUUUCUCUGAUGAGAGCAGGGACAGCAAUCCAUCUCUGCAACCGCAGAACAGCGUAGGACUUGCACAUAAGCUGGUCGUUUGAGAGUCUGAUGAGUGAAUAAAUGUGGCGAGGGAGAGCCUCUCUGGGCUGUUCCUCUGCAGCCUGUGACUCUAGCUCCUGCUUCCCUACAUGCGAGCAGUAUGACUCUACCUCCCCGCCCGCAAUGUGCUAACCUAUGUAAUGGGGAUAUUAAUUGCCACCCACCCGACUCACCUCUCUGGGCUGUUGUGAAGACCAGAUGAUAUAGCAGCUGAACACUUGCUUCCUGAAGCAUUGUUAGGAUGGGCUUAGAUUCCCCAAUGCUGUCUAAAGAAAAUCUUUUUUAGUUGACUAAAUGUAUUUCUCCUUUGAUAGAGGAGCCGAUGGCCCCGCGUUUGACAGUUGCUAUGAGUGAAGGUUUGUAUAGGAAGAAGCCGACAGUACUCAUGUGUUGAAAAAUUGUCUGGUUCUUUUUAAAGUACUCUUUGUCAGCACUGAAAGAGAGAAAGCAAAGAACAAAAAAUUCAACUCAAGCACAUCUGAGAGCCGCAGGUUAACGGCUGUCACAAUCCUGCUGCUAACCUUCUGAAAAGACAACGUCGGACCUGGAGUCGCCAGGAAAACACAGCUGGGCAAGACUGAAGGAGGGAGAAAACCUCAGGUCCUGGAGGGAAAACGAAAGGACAUGAUUGCAGUCAAUAGUGCGUUAAUGAGGUGGACUCUACUGUACACAUACAUACACCCACACACACACACACCCUAUACAUUGUAGAGAGAAUUUCACUCGGUGGGAAAGAAGGCUCAGAAAGAUGAGUUCAUAAGUCGUGAGUUCUGUCUGAUUCUCCACCAACCCCUAACCCCAGGAGUCUUCCAGUGGGCAUUCUCUUCAGAGAAAAACUAGAAUAGAUCAGAGCCUCUAAGAUGGUACAACCAGUAGCUUAUCAAUUAAGGUAUUGCUAAUUAAGUAAUAAUAAAUCAGUAAAUAGUUCAUUGAUAGCACAGGGAUUUGGGACAGUGAGCCUCAUUAAAUUGUAUGAGCUGUAUCAAGGCAGCCUCUUUACAGCAUCCCAGGAAAAAGUCACUCAGCCUGAGCUUGAAUACCUCCAGGGACAGUGAGCUCACUAGCCCCUUUUGGAAUUGGUAUUAUGGAAUGGCUGCCAGACAGUCCUUUCCCACACUGAGCACACGUUGGCGUCCAUGUUGCUUUUCUCCACUGGUCCUAGUUCUGCCAUUUGAGGGUCAUUAUUCCCUCAGGAAGGAACAAACAAGGUGGCACAGUGAAGGUUCCUGUGAAAUAUCUGCUCAGACAGUGCAAGAGGAGUUUCAGCAUCUCCCCUAUGUCAUUGGGUGGAGACACUAAGGCCCAGAGAAGGAAACAGAGUCACGGAAGUUUCCGCACAUGGCAUGCCAAGCGGUCUCCGCACCUGGGAUCCGAACCGGCAAACCCCGGGCCACCAAGAAGCAGAACGUGCGAACUUAACCGCUGUGCCACCAGUCUCCACUCUCAAGGAGCACACACUCCCCCAGAAAAACGAGAUGUGUUC